Patiria miniata (bat star) is the source of this 770-nucleotide long non-coding RNA. RefSeq lists it as uncharacterized. The transcript has 3 exons. The record is from RefSeq and is a predicted model, not a curated record. Lineage: Eukaryota; Metazoa; Echinodermata; Asteroidea; Valvatida; Asterinidae.
AGACCGAAUAUUUUUUUUUUUGGCCUAACACACACAAACAAAUACAUGAUCCCACAAAAUGGUGGUGGUUGUUAGCAACAAUUGACUUAUGAAUAUGGGCUCAAGCAACUGUAUACAGCUCAUGCCUAAAUUAAGACAGGAACCAGCCCAAUCAGCAAGUCAAGAAGUAUAAUAUAAUUAUCAACAAUAAUAAUAUGGUGAUCACAUACAUGUACCACUUUAUACCCCAGUUUCAAAGUGCUUCACAAUAUUACCCCUGUUCCUUGUGUCAUGAGACCAGUUUUCUGCAGAAGCUCAAGAUCAGUGCAAUCUGGUCUCUACCCUCACAGGCACCCCUUUAUACUCUUGGGUGGAAAGAGGCACUCCUAGUAAAGUGUCUUGCCCAAGAACACAAUCACCAUGUUCCCUGUCCCAUCACACAUGAGUCAACACCGUUACCAUUGGACCACAGCGCAUAAUUAAUAAUUAAUGAACAGCAUAAGAUCAGAAGCUUACAUGGAUAAGAAGAAACUCAGGAAGAGUUGCAGUAACACUGUGAAAAGAUCUCUUUUGAGUGGGCGACUCACCAGGUCGGCAUCAAGGUGGAAUGCUGUGGCAAGGUGGCAUCUGUUAUACUGUUCAGCUGGUCGACAGUCAACGACAAAAUAACUUACACUCUCAUUCUGCAGGAAGGCCACACCUUACAGAGUGCAUACAGGUAAGAACUUCCUCCAUCUUACCCAUACUGACGUGUAGGCAUCAGGGAAUAUCUUUUUGGUGUCGAGGAAGUU